This 207-nucleotide long non-coding RNA is filed under the name Lathyrus oleraceus (garden pea). Its description in RNAcentral is "Pisum sativum (pea) long non-coding RNA (PSAT_LNC032272)". The record is from RNAcentral. Lineage: Eukaryota; Viridiplantae; Streptophyta; Magnoliopsida; Fabales; Fabaceae.
AAUGCUAUGUUGAUGACAUGAUAGCAAAGUCCCCAAGCAGAAGAGGGGCAUCUGGUAGAUCUGGCCAAGCUGAAUGGACCAGUUAAGAUAAUUCAAACUGAGGUUGAAUUCAAAUAAGUGCACUAUCAGAGUGCGGGCCGGUAAGCUGCUGGGGUUCAUUGUAAGAGAGGAAUCGAGGUUGAUCCUGUUGAAAAAAAAAAACAAGAA